AUACUUACCUGGACGGGGUUAAUGGGCGAUCAUCAAGGUCUAUGGCCUAGGCUUGUGACCUCCGUUGCACUUAGGAGGGGUUCUCGCCUAAGGUCUCCCCAAGUGGGAGAGCCUACGUCAUAAUUUGUGGUAGUGGAGGCCUGCGUUCGAGUGGCCACCGU
Small nuclear RNA from Hibiscus syriacus, 161 nucleotides. RefSeq annotates it as U1 spliceosomal RNA. The record is from RefSeq and is a predicted model, not a curated record. NCBI's taxonomy places the organism in Eukaryota, Viridiplantae, Streptophyta, Magnoliopsida, Malvales, Malvaceae. The transcript has a single exon.